This 291-nucleotide ribosomal RNA is filed under the name uncultured bacterium. RNAcentral describes it as "partial 16S ribosomal RNA". It matches the Rfam family "Bacterial small subunit ribosomal RNA", at positions 505 to 796 of the family's 1533-position model. The record is from RNAcentral.
GUGCCAGCAGCCGCGGUAAUACGGGGGGUGCAAGCGUUGUCCGGAAUCACCGGGCGUAAAGGGUGCGCAGGCGGGGCAGCAAGUCGGAGGUGAAAGCCCGUGGCUCAACCACGGAAGUGCCUUCGAAACUGUUGCUCUUGAGUCCCGGAGAGGUUGCCGGAAUUCGUGGUGUAGCGGUGAAAUGCGUAGAUAUCACGAGGAACACCAGAGGCGAAAGCGGGCAACUGGACGGGUACUGACGCUCAGGCACGAAAGCGCGGGGAGCAAACAGGAUUAGAAACCCCUGUGUCC